AACAUCAGAAAAGGCCAUUUUCCCUCAUGCAAUUAUUUUCGUAUAUGUUAUUCAAAACUGUCAUUUUUUCUGCAAACGCAUGUCCUAUGCGAACAAAUUACAUUUUAGUUUCAUCACUAUAAUAAUUCAACACUAUAAUAUCAUAAUAAAAUGACCAAUUUACAAUUUUAAGUUAUUUAAACUUCUUAGUCUGAAAUAUUUUUGAACAUUUUUUUUUUACGUCUUCAGCUGCACAGCCUUUUUCCACACACUUUUUCUACAUGCAGACAUUUUGAAACCUGUUUUUAAUGCCUUUUUUUUGGGAGCAGGCCUGUGUUCAGUGUGAAAUUGUGCCCAAUGUUUUGUUUUUAACAGUCACUUUUUUACAUUCUUUUUUCGUGUUUUGUCCUUUGAUAACGGUCAGAAACACGCAUACAUGCAAUUACCUUUGUACAGAACCUUUGCUUGCAUUUAUGCGUGUAUCUCAAGGUAGUUACAUUUACCUAACACGUGAACUUCUGGGUCGUUUGCAUUUUAAACGUCCAAGCUAAUUGAUUUUAAUCUAAUUUAAAAUGAAAACGCUUUUGGUUUUUGCUAAAUAUAUUUUUAACUUAGAUUUACUUUAAAAAGUUAAUUCGCAAACCUAGAAAUUGGUACUUUAUGAAGUCUACUUGAGGAAUCAAGAGCGUGGAUUGAAGAAAAAGCCCGACUGGUCGAAGAAGGGAGAUGAAAAGAAGGUAAAGGAGGAGCAGGAGGUUGAAGCAUGAGCGGACUCCUGAUACACCAACGCCCCUUUAUACUACACACAUAUUUUAAUCAUAAUGUUAGGUCUAUUCGUAAUAUCAGAAAAAAGAUACUUAACAUACCCUGCGCGAAUAGGAACUUUAACAUCGCAAAAAGAAAUAGCAUCACGCCUAACUGAAUCAUACAAAGAACAACGCCAUAUUUUUAUUGAACUAUUCCUUGCUCCGAAAGAGCGCGAAGUGUCCUCAGCCAUGAGCCGCCGGAACAUCAACAUUGUAAGCUUAGCUUGAAUCUGAAUACAAAUGUUUCCAGUACCUCGCACGUCAUUCGCAUGCACAAGUCACGAGUAGGUUUUCCCUUGGCAUGUUUACGUUUGAUUUGCACCAUAUUGUAUUUUGGGUCAAGAAGACUGAUUGAAUGGCAAAUAAAAGCAUUUGUGUCUGAGAAUGAAUAUGUUAUGUUUGUCUUGUGGUGUCUUUUGAUUCCCUGUCGUCACAAUAACAUGUCCGCAAGAGAAACCAACUACCCGAAGUCACAGCAUAUCUCUAGAAAUUGCAGUAUUUCACUCUGGUAUGUAUGGUAAAAUGGAAAGUCAUCAGUAUAGAAACCUGUAAAGACUUCUGGGCAACUACGUUGCUCCGGCAAAAAAGCGUUACCCAUGGUGACGCGAGGGAAAGUUAGGCGCCGCACGUCGCGAAGCACCUACUUACAAAUAAGGCGUGGCGCCAGCUCCAUGCUGAUGUGGAUGCAUUGCAGGUUGCAGGCGCAGACCGCUAUUGUAGCAUAGUUACACUCUCAUAUGCCUAUGGAUGUGCUAUCCGUAUGUCAUGGAGAAUUUUGUGCAAACGUAUUAUGGAUCACAAAUUAUCCAUAACAUGGAUAAAAUUGUCCGUAUUACGAACUAGUCUUACUUACUGUCCAAGGCAUGGACGAAAGGUUUAGACGAAAGGUUUAGACGAAAGGUAUGGACAAAAGGUACCCUAUGGAUGAAGGCAUGUCUGUAAUAUGGAUCAAAUUGUCCGUAAUCCGCACAAUUUUAUCCAUAUUAUGGAUAAUUUGUGAUCCAUAAUACGUUUGCACAAAAUUCUCCGUAAGCGUGUCUAUAAGGAAAUGAGAGUGUAAUAACCCAGUACUACGUACCGUGUCUCAGGGCUACGACUUUGCAGUAUGCGGGUUACUUGCCUACUCUAAGGGCCAUGGCGCCUUACGGGUGGGGCGAGUAGGCAAGACUGCACCCUUGUUGUCGUAGCCCUCACACACGGUAUUUUCUCCGGCUGGACUUCUGACCCGGCAUCGCCCGCACUCAGGCACGAAAUCAGAACGCGAAUCUCAUGGGCGAGCAGAGACAUAUACUAGCUUGCGCUUUUACGCUAUUAAAAAUGCUGUCGUAAAUUUACGACACUUUGUAGUUCAUCUUGUUGGCAGACAAAGGUUGUACAACAACGAGGCAAUUGCUGUUGUGUGAUGAGAUUCUCGCCAUGAUAUGACAAAUUUGUUGUCAAGGAACGAAAUUAACUGUUAGUAUACAUGUUACGCUGCCAACAAAAUUACCUACAAAGGUGUGUUAAAGCUACGAAAAUAUCAAUAACAGUGUACCCGCACGACGUAGCCUAGAUCAGUGACCAGUGAAUCGGCGUAACCAGACAGUUCUCGGUCUCUAUUGCGCCCAUGAGAGCGAGAGCGCGGCAGAAUACAAAGUUGGGCACAAAUCAGUCUUAAAAAAAGCGCGUCGUCUCGGGGCACGCCUACUGUGUGGCCACCUUUGAAAACGAACUCGAAGUUACCGUAAUCCCCAUACGUGCACGCCUAUCAGUUGAGUUAGUUCGGCGUAACUGGGAUUUCCCAAAAUUGCAACUUUAAAAAAACUCAUGGAAAUUUAUGAUGGCACGCACCGGAGGGUUUCGGCAUUGCACAUACUUGCUCGGCGGAAUAUAUAACAAGAUAUGAUGAAUAAUUUUGCAUACUUGAUGCGCACGGAAUUUGGUUGGCUCAAUAUAACUUAACAUUUCAUCAAACCAUAACCUUUCCAAUCCCGAAGGUGUAGAUAUGGUCAGAUGUCUUUUUUUAAGACAAAAUUGAAAUCGAUGGGCAACAGACCCCACUUUUAUUUGAGGGAGUACGUGACAAGUGACAAAGUUUCCCAGAAAAUCCUUUUUCCGCAACAGUCUAUCGACGUCCUGUGAGGACCUUCCAAAGACGAACCUGCUAACAAGAAAGAGGAGGUGACAACGGGCCAUGGGACGAAGAGGCCACGUGCCCAUCACUUUUAGGACACUUGGGAAGAGGAAGAGAGCGAGGAGGAAGAAGAGCCAGAGCCGGAACCAGAGCCUGAACCGGAAGAGACACCGGAGUCGAAGGUAGCAGACGCGCUCUCCGUGGUGGCCAAUAAGGCAGACACGGCGCUCAAUGAGGCUAUGCUGGUGCUGGAGAAGCUGCUCAAGGGGCCCCUAGGCGGAGGGGGGGAGGAGGCGCCUCCAGCGGAGGCAGAAGCUCCUCCGGCCGAAGCAGCCCCUCAAGAAGGAGCGCCGCCCGCCGAGGGAGCGCCCGCCGACGCGCCGCCAGCAGAGGCGCCUGCCGGGGAGGCUCCCCCGGCAGAAGCACCCCCGGCAGAAGCUCCCCCGGCGGAAGCCGCCCCAGCGGAAGCUCCUGCAGAAGCUCCAGCAGAGGCUCCCCCGGCAGACGCUCCUGCAGCGGAGGCACCGGCAGCUGAGGCCCCGCCAGCGGAGGCUGCCCCCGCGGAAGCCCCGCCAGCUGAGGCACCUCCAGCGGAGACCCCAGCCGCCGAAGCCCCGCCGGCCGAGGGUGCCCCAGCCGACGCCCCGGCCGAAGCCCCAGCCGGCGAUGCAGCGCCCGCAGAGGGAGCGCCGGCGGAAGUCACCCCGGCGCCCACACCGGAACCAGCACAGCCGCCGCCACCACCACCCAAGCUCACUCCGGAGCAGAAGGCCGAGCAGGCCGCCGUCAAGGCAGAGGAGGCCGCACUGAAGCUCGAGUCACUCCUAGACCAGAUCACGCAGCUUGUCCAGCCACUUAUGCCCCAGCCAGAACCGGAACCCGAGCCCGAACCAGAGCCCGAGCCUGAGCCGGAAGUGGAACCCGAACCCGAACCGGAGCCAGAACCAGAACCAGAACUCCCGCCAGAAGAACCCCCCAAGCCCGAGGAGCCUCCAGAAGCUGCUCUAGACCACGUGGACGAGGUCGAGGUCAGCGACACCAUCAAGUCGGCCGCGCACCGCGCCAAAGACGCCCGGGACAGGAUCGAGCUGGCCAUGGCCAGGAUCCAGCAGGCGAUGGCGAAGGCCGAGCCCGUGCUACCCAAGGCUCAGGAGGGCGACGCCGCACCCAAGGAGGCCGCCGAUGGGGAAGCGCCACCAGCGGACGCGCCUGCCGAGCCCGCGGCUGAAGAAUGAUCGUGGAAUGCUAUUCCGAACAAGCGAACGACAGCGACUCCCGGGAAGUAAAUGAACAACGGCUGCAGAACUUCGACAAACUCUACCCAUUCCCUAUUAGUUCCUACUCCUUAUCCCCGCCCAGACUGAAAACAGAUGAAGAAAACAAGUAGCGUUUAGCGUUUCCACAAUCUAAGACUGUGAAAUUAGCCUAGAGUACAUGCUAUAGAGUAGCAUAAUGGAGGCAGGGUCUGCAUUUAUCACAGUAAAUUCCAUACGCAGAUACUUUGACAGGACAAUCAGACCCAAACAGACCAAACGCACCUUCUACUGGUAUCUUGAAAGAAAUCGGAAAUAAAUAUUUGCAUUUUAUCAAAGAAAAGAAUAAUCUUGUAUAUCUUAAUGUCCCGAUCGAUAAAUACGGACAACUGUCGUAAAACCCAAAGGUAAGUUUGUUCAACAUAAACAGUUAAGUAGUUGUUUGUUGCUUUUUUUCACUGCAAUAUUCAUCGUCUUGCUACAUGUUUAAAUGGCAAUAAGGCAUGUCCAUGAAACAGAUAUUCGGUUGUGUGGAAACAGUUUUGCUUUCUCUGCAUGCAUUUACAAAAAUAGAAUCAGUCCCAGCAUACUAACCCGGAAAGAAACCAAUGUAAUUAUUUUCCUUGGACAAAAAAUCUAGCUCCUUACCAAUACGCCAAAUUCUGGAGGAAAAAAACAGUUUGUCACAGUGAAAUUUCUGUUUGUUCAAAUAGCUAAACGUUCUUCAAUAGUCAUCUAAAUCUCAACAAUUCUUUUAAGCAUUCUUUAAAAAGCUUUUCAAAUUAAAGAUUUGGCGCAAAACGCUACAUGGAAAAAAUCAUUUUAAACAGUUUACAUUGGUUUACCUUUCCCAGUUCUCGAUUGUAAACUGCAAUACUAGGUAAGUUUUCGCCAAAUACAACUCACAACAAGUAUUUGACACUCAGGAGGUACCCGCUCCCGUAGGCAGCUGUUUGCUAACAUGUGCGAUUGGAGUUGUAAUCUAACCUUCACACUGAGCUCUUUUCUUUUAAAAUUAAUUUAAAUAAGAUAAAAUUUCAUAACUAACAUGACACCGAGCACAUGAGGUGAUGUGGGACGGUGCGACAGUCGUGUCGCUAUGUGCUACACACUCACUAAGACAACGUGUACAGGACUCUGACGAGGAAGAGGAGGAAGAAGAGGAGCCGGCGGACGUCAAGGUGACGGAGGCCGUCAAGAUCGUGGCGGGUAAGGCAGAGCACGCCGUAGAGGAGGCCGAGCACGCUCUUGAGCUGCUCCGCGUGGUCCAGGAGAUGCUCCAUCCCCCACAGCCGGAACCGGAACCAGAGCCCGAGCCGGAGCCGCCGGUGGAGGAGCCACCGCCACCAGAACCGGAAGAACCGCCGGCACCGACCCCAGAGCCGUCUCCGAUCCCGCCAACGCCAGAGCCAGAACUACCCCCCGAACCGACACCGGAACCAGAGCCUGAGCUUGACGAAGAGGAGACGCGAGCCAAACUAGCGGCAGACAAGGCCGAAGCUAUGGCGAACCAGCUCGAGCAGCUCCUGGCCGAAAUCGAGGGGAUGGUACAUGUCAUCAUCCCAGAUCCGCCACCAGUCGAGGAGGCCCCGCCACCCGCCGAAGGGGCGGCGCCCGCAGAGGGCGAAGCUCCCGCAGAGGGCGCGGCCGAGGUCCCGGCAGAGGGAGAAGUGGUGGCGCCGACACCAGAACCGGAACCCGUCCCGGAGCCUGAGCCGGUCGUGGAACCCGAACCCGAGCCGGAGCCGGAGCCGGAACCCGAACCCGAGGACCCCGCCCUGGAGAUGCUGGACCACCUCGACGACGAGCCCAUCAAGGACGAAGUCAAGAACAUUGCGCUGCGCGCCAAGGCCGCGAAGGAAAGGAUAGAAGAGACCAUGGCUCGGCUCAAGGAGACCAUCGCCGAGACCGGCCAGCAGGCACUCAUGGACGUGCUCAAGGCCGCCCACCGAGCAGCACUACAGGCCUCGCACGCCGCCGAGGCCGUGGCAGUGGCGCAGACGGAGGCACCAGCACCAGAUGCAGCACCUGUAGAUGCAGCACCUGCUGCACCUGUCGAAGUUGCGUAGCCUGUCUACCGCCAGCCGGGUCGAAGAAGACGAGGACGAGGAAGACGAGGAGGCCCCAGCCGGCGGCGCCGGCACCGCCUGGCCGAACUAGAUCCCCAGAAAGGUUAACUAUAGUGAGGGGCAGUGGAUCCGGUGGUCCCUGUACAUUUUGCAUUUUUCUUGUUUAAAAAUAAAGGGGUAGAUCCUAUAGACAGUUUAUUGUCAAUAAAUUCACUUCCUUAAGACGCCGCGGAAACAACGCUGAGCCUUUUCCAGUUUUUUCUGGUUCGUUAAAUUUUCUCAGUUUUCUUUCCUGUCAUCAAGCUAUAUUGUCUGGUACAAGCAUCCGACUUACUCAUUUUUCAAAAGUGCGUCCGAUGCAUUAUCAUGUUAUUUGUAGAAAGACAGCAGAUAUGCCAUGAUCUCCCGAUAAAAAAGCAUGAUACCAGUUUCAAGCAGAUUCUCUUUGCACGCAACCAAAGACCAUGUAUUGCUUGUUGGAAUGAAGGCGAUUUGUGUAUUAUUUGUAUGCGGGUCACAAUAAAAGUAUUUUCCACAAAA
Molecule: RNA transcript, 6760 nt
Organism: Frankliniella occidentalis (western flower thrips)
Lineage: Eukaryota; Metazoa; Arthropoda; Insecta; Thysanoptera; Thripidae
Gene: wupA
Gene name: troponin I
Exons: 5
Source: RefSeq, a predicted model, not a curated record